RNAcentral lists this ribosomal RNA (506 nucleotides) under uncultured bacterium. Its description in RNAcentral is "partial 16S ribosomal RNA". It matches the Rfam family "Bacterial small subunit ribosomal RNA", at positions 29 to 523 of the family's 1533-position model. The record is from RNAcentral.
AGUGAACGCUGGCGGUAGGCCUAACACAUGCAAGUCGAACGGCAGCACAGGAGAGCUUGCUCUCUGGGUGGCGAGUGGCGGACGGGUGAGGAAUACAUCGGAAUCUACUUUUUCGUGGGGGAUAACGUAGGGAAACUUACGCUAAUACCGCAUACGACCUACGGGUGAAAGCAGGGGAUCUUCGGACCUUGCGCGAUUGAAUGAGCCGAUGUCGGGUUAGCUAGUUGGCGGGGUAAAGGCCCACCAAGGCGACGAUCCGUAGCUGGUCUGAGAGGAUGAUCAGCAACACUGGAACGGGGACACGGUCCAGACUCCUACGGGAGGCAGCAGUGGGGAAUAUUGGACAAUGGGCGCAAGCCUGAUCCAGCCAUACCGCGUGGGUGAAGAAGGCCUUCGGGUUGUAAAGCCCUUUUGUUGGGAAAGAAAUCCAGCUGGUUAAUACCCGGUUGGGAUGACGGUACCCAAAGAAUAAGCACCGGCUAACUUCGUGCCAGCCGCCGCUGUAA